This 742-nucleotide ribosomal RNA is filed under the name uncultured bacterium. RNAcentral describes it as "bacterial SSU rRNA". It matches the Rfam family "Bacterial small subunit ribosomal RNA", at positions 108 to 851 of the family's 1533-position model. The record is from RNAcentral.
GAGUAACGCGUAUCCAACCUGCCCACCACUUGGGGAUAACCUUGCGAAAGUAAGACUAAUACCCAAUGACGUCUCUAGAAGGCAUCUGAAAGAGAUUAAAGAUUUAUCGGUGAUGGAUGGGGAUGCGUCUGAUUAGCUUGUUGGCGGGGUAACGGCCCACCAAGGCAACGAUCAGUAGGGGUUCUGAGAGGAAGGUCCCCCACAUUGGAACUGAGACACGGUCCAAACUCCUACGGGAGGCAGCAGUGAGGAAUAUUGGUCAAUGGACGAGAGUCUGAACCAGCCAAGUAGCGUGCAGGAAGACGGCCCUAUGGGUUGUAAACUGCUUUUAUAAGGGAAUAAAGUGAGUCUCGUGAGACUUUUUGCAUGUACCUUAUGAAUAAGGACCGGCUAAUUCCGUGCCAGCAGCCGCGGUAAUACGGAAGGUCCGGGCGUUAUCCGGAUUUAUUGGGUUUAAAGGGAGCGUAGGCCGGAGAUUAAGCGUGUUGUGAAAUGUAGACGCUCAACGUCUGCACUGCAGCGCGAACUGGUUUCCUUGAGUACGCACAAAGUGGGCGGAAUUCGUGGUGUAGCGGUGAAAUGCUUAGAUAUCACGAAGAACUCCGAUUGCGAAGGCAGCUCACUCUAGCGCAACUGACGCUGAAGCUCGAAAGUGCGGGUAUCGAACAGGAUUAGAUACCCUGGUAGUCCGCACGGUAAACGAUGGAUGCCCGCUGUUGGUCUGAAUAGGUCAGCGGCCAAG